RNAcentral lists this ribosomal RNA (252 nucleotides) under uncultured bacterium. Its description in RNAcentral is "partial 16S ribosomal RNA". It matches the Rfam family "Bacterial small subunit ribosomal RNA", at positions 524 to 775 of the family's 1533-position model. The record is from RNAcentral.
UACGUAGGGUGCAAGCGUUGUCCGGAAUUAUUGGGCGUAAAGAGCUCGUAGGCGGUUUGUCGCGUCGGCUGUGAAAACCCGGGGCUCAACCCCGGGCCUGCAGCCGAUACGGGCAGACUAGAGUUCGGCAGGGGAGACUGGAAUUCCUGGUGUAGCGGUGAAAUGCGCAGAUAUCAGGAGGAACACCGGUGGCGAAGGCGGGUCUCUGGGCCGAUACUGACGCUGAGGAGCGAAAGCGUGGGGAGCGAACAG